UAUAAUGGGUCAGCGACUUAUAUUCUGUAGCAAGGUUAACCGUAUAGGGGAGCCGCAGGGAAACCGAGUCUUAACUGGGCGUUAAGUUGCAGGGUAUAGACCCGAAACCCGGUGAUCUAGCCAUGGGCAGGUUGAAGGUUGGGUAACACUAACUGGAGGACCGAACCGACUAAUGUUGAAAAAUUAGCGGAUGACUUGUGGCUGGGGGUGAAAGGCCAAUCAAACCGGGAGAUAGCUGGUUCUCCCCGAAAGCUAUUUAGGUAGCGCCUCGUGAACUCAUCUUCGGGGGUAGAGCACUGUUUCGGCUAGGGGGUCAUCCCGACUUACCAACCCGAUGCAAACUACGAAUACCGAAGAAUGUUAUCACGGGAGACACACGGCGGGUGCUAACGUCCGUCGUGAAGAGGGAAACAACCCAGACCGCCAGCUAAGGUCCCAAAGUCACAGUUAAGUGGGAAACGAUGUGGGAAGGCACAGACAGCCAGGAUGUUGGCUUAGAAGCAGCCAUCAUUUAAAGAAAGCGUAAUAGCUCACUGGUCGAGUCGGCCUGCGCGGAAGAUGUAACGGGGCUAAACUGUGCACCGAAGCUGCGGCAGCGACACUA
RNAcentral lists this ribosomal RNA (604 nucleotides) under Klebsiella aerogenes. RNAcentral describes it as "partial 23S ribosomal RNA". It matches the Rfam family "Bacterial large subunit ribosomal RNA", at positions 611 to 1216 of the family's 2925-position model. The record is from RNAcentral. Lineage: Bacteria; Pseudomonadati; Pseudomonadota; Gammaproteobacteria; Enterobacterales; Enterobacteriaceae.